Molecule: ribosomal RNA, 440 nt
Filed under: uncultured bacterium
Lineage: Bacteria
Description: partial 16S ribosomal RNA
Rfam family: Bacterial small subunit ribosomal RNA
Source: RNAcentral
CCUACGGGAGGCAGCAGUGGGGAAUAUUGCACACUGGGGGAAACCCUGAUGCAGCGACGCCGCGUGAGUGAAGGAGCGUUUCGGCGCGUAAAGCUCUAUCGGCAGGGAAGAAGAUGACGGUACCUGACCAAGAAGCCCCGGCUAACUACGUGCCAGCAGCCGCGGUAAUACGUAGGGGGCAAGCGUUAUCCGGAUUUCCUGGGUGUAAAGGGGGCGCAGACGGCAGUGCAAGCCUGGAGUGAAAGCCCUGGGCUCAACCCCGGCACUGCUGUUGAAACUGACUGGCUGGAGUGCAGGAGGGGUAUGCGGAAUUCCUAGUGUAGCGGUGAAAUGCGUAGAGAUUAGGAGGAACACCAGUGGCGAAGGCGGCUUGCUGGACUGUAACUGACGUUGAGGCUCGAAGGCGUGGGGAGCAAACAGGAUUAGAUACCCUAGUAGUC